GCCAAUGUAGUUCUUUCAGGACCGGUGUUAUGUGGUCUCGGCAGCUACUCCCAGUCACCAGUCUAGCUAUCACAUUCUGGAUUAGUUGUAGUUUCCAGGUCACCUUCUUCCUUUGCUUCCUGGGCAAGUUAUGGAUACACUGUGGCCGCGAGCUGGUAGCUCGAAAGCAAACCAUAAUGGGAAUGUUGGGACUGUUCCGUGGGAAACAGAGGGACAGUCAAUUCACAGUGCAGAGGGCACCGGAAUUAGCUCAGAGUGUAAUAUGAGCUGUACAGGAAGUACAGGAGGAGUUUGUCUCUCGACUGCUGGAGCUUUAAGAGAGCAGUCAUGUUUUCUGUACCGCUGCAAAGACAGAAAUAAGGGCAUGUAAAUACAUUUCUGUCUAUCUCUUUCCCCUGCCUGGGGGGGCAGGAAAGAGGGGGGGUGUUCUUCUCACUCUGAGAAGGAUCGCCUAUCGCGACCUCUGCCUGGAUCCUGCUGGGGAAUGCAGACAGGGAGGUCAACAGGAGAUCAAGCCGGGUGCCUGGAGAGUGGCCAGUUUCUCCUGAUAAAGGCUUGAUUCCCAACAUGUUCCUACUCUUCAAGAUAAAUCCCAGUUCCCCUUUUUUCUACCUGAUGGCCCCAAAUGUAGAUCCCCAGAAUCUGGGGAUUGUCCAACUGCUCCUGAACUUCAGAUGGAUGUGGAUUCCCAUAUUGCGUGGGAAAGACCUUAAAACAAUAACAAUAACAAUGAUUUAUUUAUACCCCGUCCAUCUGGCUGGUUUUCUCCAACCACGCUGGGUGGCUUCCAGCAAAAUAUUAAAAUACAAUAAUUCAACACAUAUUAAAAGCUUCCCAAACAGGGCUCCCUUUAGAUGUCUUCUCAAAGUCAGAUGUUUAUUUCUUUGAAAUCUGGUAGGAGGAUAUUCCACAGGGUGGGUGCCACUACCAAGAAGGCCCUGUAACUUCACUUCCCGCAGUGAGGGAGCCAGCAGAAGACCCUGGACACCUCAGUGUCCAGACAGAAGGAUGGGGGUGGAGACACUCCUUCAAGUAUACUGGGCCAAGGCUGUUAAGGGCUUUAAAGGUGAGCACCAACACUUUGAAUUGUGUCCAGAAACGUACUGGGAGCCAAUGUAGGUCUUUCAGAACCGGUGUUAUGUGGUCUCGGCAGCUACUCCCAGUCACCAGUCUAGCUACCACAUUCUGGAUUAGUUGUAGUUUCCAGGUCACCUUCAAAUGUAACCCCACAUAGAAUGCGUUGCAGUAGUCCAAGCGAGUCCUCAACACCAGCCCGCCCCCUGUCACCCCAGAACAGCACUUCUGUCUUGUCAGGAUUCAACCUCAAUCAGUCACCUGCCAUCCAUCCUUCAACCGCCUCCAGACACACACACAGGACCUUCAGCGCUUUCACUGAUUCCGAUUUAAAAGAGAGUUAGAGCAGGAUAUCAUCCGCAUACUGAUGAACACCCAGCCCAAACCCUCUGGUGAUCUCUCCCAGCAGCUUCAUGUAGAUGUUAAAAAGAAUGGGGGAGAGGAUGGAACCCUGAGGCACCC
Molecule: non-coding RNA, 1536 nt
Organism: Podarcis lilfordi (Lilford's wall lizard)
Lineage: Eukaryota; Metazoa; Chordata; Lepidosauria; Squamata; Lacertidae
Source: the annotation of a GenBank genome assembly